GUCGAGCGAACGGACGAGAAGCUUGCUUCUCUGAUGUUAGCGGCGGACGGGUGAGUAACACGUGGAUAACCUACCUAUAAGACUGGGAUAACUUCGGGAAACCGGAGCUAAUACCGGAUAAUAUUUUGAACCGCAUGGUUCAAAAGUGAAAGACGGUCUUGCUGUCACUUAUAGAUGGAUCCGCGCUGCAUUAGCUAGUUGGUAAGGUAACGGCUUACCAAGGCAACGAUGCAUAGCCGACCUGAGAGGGUGAUCGGCCACACUGGAACUGAGACACGGUCCAGACUCCUACGGGAGGCAGCAGUGGGGAAUCUUCCGCAAUGGGCGAAAGCCUGACGGAGCAACUCCGCGUGAGUGAUGAAGGUCUUCGGAUCGUAAAACUCUGUUAUUAGGGAAGAACAUAUGUGUAAGUAACUGUGCACAUCUCGACGGUACCUAAUCAGAAAGCCACGGCUAACUACGUGCCAGCAGCCGCGGUAAUACGUAGGUGGCAAGCGUUAUCCGGAAUUAUUGGGCGUAAAGCGCGCGUAGGCGGUUUUUUAAGUCUGAUGUGAAAGCCCACGGCUCAACCGUGGAGGGUCAUUGGAAACUGGAAUACUUGAGUGCAGAAGAGGAAGGUGGAAUUCCAUGUGUAGCGGUGAUAUGCGCAGAGAUAUGGAGGAACACCAGUGGCGAAGGCGACUUUCUGGUCUGUA
RNAcentral lists this ribosomal RNA (695 nucleotides) under uncultured Staphylococcus sp. RNAcentral describes it as "bacterial SSU rRNA". It matches the Rfam family "Bacterial small subunit ribosomal RNA", at positions 61 to 738 of the family's 1533-position model. Lineage: Bacteria; Bacillati; Bacillota; Bacilli; Caryophanales; Staphylococcaceae. The record is from RNAcentral.